This 255-nucleotide ribosomal RNA is filed under the name uncultured bacterium. Its description in RNAcentral is "partial 16S ribosomal RNA". It matches the Rfam family "Bacterial small subunit ribosomal RNA", at positions 524 to 775 of the family's 1533-position model. The record is from RNAcentral.
UACGAAGGGGGCUAGCGUUGUUCGGAAUUACUGGGCGUAAAGCGCACGUAGGCGGGUAUUUAAGUCAGGGGUGAAAUCCCAGAGCUCAACUCUGGAACUGCCUUUGAUACUGGGUACCUAGAGUAUGGAAGAGGUGAGUGGAAUUCCGAGUGUAGAGGUGAAAUUCGUAGAUAUUCGGAGGAACACCAGUGGGCGAAAGGCGGCUCACUGGCCCGAUAACUGACGCUGAGGACGAAAGCGUGGGGGAGCAAACGG